CUAAACCCUCUCUCUAAAAAAAAAUUCCAAAUCAAAGUGUAAAAACGAUGAAAUUGAAAUACGUAAAGUAAUGAUGAUAGACAUGGUGUUGGAUCUGAUAUUUGGGCGUUGUUAAGAACUAAAACGCAAAGAUUGAAGCAAGACCCAGGAUUUCACCAUGUAAAAGGCCUAAAUGUGGGUUUCUAUCAGAUUUAAACAAGUCAAAGCAUGGACGUCUAAGGAACUAAGCAUAUCGGUAUGGACAUUUGGGAUGUGGCUAUGGAGAGAAGGGAAGCUGCUCGAGAAAUUGUUUGCAGAGCAUAUCUAGGGGUUUGGAAUGAGGUGUUGGUUACUACAAUAGCCGAUUUGCCCCGUGUUAUCCAGUCUACUAAAACAUUGUUAUUGCCUCUCUUUAUUGGUUCAGGGAUGUCACAGAGACCUGGAUUUUGGGAUGUUUGUAUUGGCUUAUAACUUUUUACCCAUCUUCAACGCAAAAUCAUCGAGGGAUUUGAUAUUGCGGUUAGCGGGGAGUUAGAAAGGGAGAGCUUAUGUUUCCACCUUUAGCUUUUAUUGCGACUUACAUUUCCUGCGUCCUCAGCCCAAGUCAAGGCAACUGAGAGGCUUGAGGUUGUAUACCGUGUCCUAAAAUAGGUGAUUCUUACUGGUUCACCUGGACGCAAAGCAAGAAGCAAGUUAGCAAGCAGAUAUUUACUUUCUUGCUCAAAGCUGUAGGAAAGAGCACAAAUGAAGGAACAAGCUGGGUUAGAUGAGAAUGGUACAAGAAACACCAUCACCUAGUGUUAUUCUGAUGCCCAUACAUGAUCAAGCUUCGAAUCCUUGCGCUAUUACAACUACUCCAGCAAGAGGAACCAGUUCACAAUAUUAAUGAAGAAGUCUUCUUGCACUGAGCACAUUGUUAAGCUAGGGGUAGAGGUAAUUUAGACUGAUGAUGUUGGAAUACCAGUAGAUGUAAAGCAGGGAUAGCAUCUGUCUAGUAUAUGGCACAUGAACUGAACUGGUUUUUGACACCUGAAUGUCUAGUAUGUGUCGCAGCCAUUCAAUUUGGUGAAUGAUUAUUAUUGUAGUUUCAGAAAUAAGAAUAAAAU
This is a long non-coding RNA of Papaver somniferum (opium poppy), 1085 nucleotides long. RefSeq lists it as uncharacterized. The transcript is spliced from 10 exons. The record is from RefSeq and is a predicted model, not a curated record. NCBI's taxonomy places the organism in Eukaryota, Viridiplantae, Streptophyta, Magnoliopsida, Ranunculales, Papaveraceae.